This is a long non-coding RNA of Mercurialis annua (annual mercury), 912 nucleotides long. RefSeq lists it as uncharacterized. Lineage: Eukaryota; Viridiplantae; Streptophyta; Magnoliopsida; Malpighiales; Euphorbiaceae. The transcript has 2 exons. The record is from RefSeq and is a predicted model, not a curated record.
UUUGGAUUAUUUUAAGAGAAUCCAUAAAUAUUUGGAAUAUUAUUUUUAGAUAGGGAUUUAAGCGCGAUAAAUAAAUUAUACGGCUAAAUAAUAAAUUUAAGGAAAAAGGCGAUAAUUAAUAUUUUGGAUUAAGAAAAGUAGUCCGUAUAAUUUAUAAUCGAUGAGAGUUUGGAUUUAGCCCGAGAAAUUUAUCGACGUGCUUAAUUAAUAAAUUAAUGAAUAAAUAAAUUAAUAGGAAUUCUAAAUAACCAAAAUAAAUGGUGUAGAGCCAAAUUAUGAUAGGCCUAAUUAAUACUACAAUUUAUAAGCCCAAAAUUAAUAAUGAAAUAAAAUAAAAGCCAAGCCCAAUCCAUUCCCUUUUAGUGAUAUUAAAAACAAAUGAGCAAUAUAAUUCCUUAGCCACAAACCAAAGAAGUUUCCAGAGAAGGAAAAAAAAAAAAGAAAGAAGCCUCAUCUCUUCUUCUUCACCAAGAAGAAAUAUUUUCCUACACCAUCCAUUAAAGCUUGAGGUUUGGGAAUUCAAGCUUCUAUUGUUUAUUAUCUACCCCUAGCAACAAUAAAAUAAGAUCGUACGGGUAUUUGGAUUGGAGAAAUAGAGAAUUUGGAGGGUUAAACAACGGGCUAUUUUAUUGUGCUUUAUGAAAUUUGGAUUAAGCGAUCGAGUGUUUUCUUUCAGGAUUAACAUAUGACGAUGUGGUCGAGCUUCCAUUCGUUGUUCCGGAAGUCUCAGUUAUGGGAGGUCUUAUUCUUCUUAGAGCUGCAGUAGUCAUGAUAGUAGACCUAGCUAGUAGCUGACAAUUUAUAUUUAUAUUAUGACUUGCUAAAAUGAUGUAUUUUGGAAAAAUGAAUUAUCCAGGGAUUUAAUAUAUGGUUAAUUGGUAUUUUAUACAGAGUGGUUUGUGUAUUUUCACA